AUUGAACGCUGGUGGAAUGCUUUACACAUGCAAGUCGAACGGUAGAGGGGGCAACCCCUCGAGAGUGGCGAACGGGUGAGUAAUAUAUCGGAACGUGCCCAGUCGUGGAGGAUAACGUAGCGAAAGUUACACUAAUACCGCAUACGAUCUAAGGAUGAAAGCGGGGGAUCGCAAGACCUCGCGCGAUUGGAGCGGCCGAUAUCAGAUUAGGUAGUUGGUGGGGUAAAGGCUCACCAAGCCAACGAUCUGUAGCUGGUCUGAGAGGACGACCAGCCACACUGGAACUGAGACACGGUCCAGACUCCUACGGGAGGCAGCAGUGGGGAAUUUUGGACAAUGGACGCAAGUCUGAUCCAGCCAUUCCGCGUGCAGGAUGAAGGCCCUCGGGUUGUAAACUGCUUUUGUACGGAACGAAAAGGUCUCUCUUAAUACGGGGGGCUCAUGACGGUACCGUAAGAAUAAGCACCGGCUAACUACGUGCCAGCAGCCGCAGUAA
This 496-nucleotide ribosomal RNA is filed under the name uncultured bacterium. Its description in RNAcentral is "partial 16S ribosomal RNA". It matches the Rfam family "Bacterial small subunit ribosomal RNA", at positions 30 to 523 of the family's 1533-position model. The record is from RNAcentral.